RNAcentral lists this ribosomal RNA (253 nucleotides) under uncultured bacterium. RNAcentral describes it as "partial 16S ribosomal RNA". It matches the Rfam family "Bacterial small subunit ribosomal RNA", at positions 524 to 776 of the family's 1533-position model. The record is from RNAcentral.
UACGUAGGGUGCGAGCGUUGCCCGGAUUUAUUGGGCGUAAAGGGCGUGUAGGCGGUCAAGUAAGUGGGAUGUGAAAUCCCUCAGCUCACCCGAGGACCUGCAUCCCAAACUGCUUGGCUUGAGUAUGGGAGAGGAUGAGGGAAUUCCUGGUGUAGCGGUGAAAUGCGUAGAUAUCAGGAGGAACACCGGUGGCGAAGGCGCUCAUCUGGCCCAAUACUGACGCUGAUGCGCGAAAGCUAGGGGAGCAAACGGG